GACGUCAAGGGCUCCGGAUAUUGUGUAAGUUUCCCUUUAAGUUACGAUGGGAAUGAAGAACAAUGCCGAAUGGAUCCAUGCCCGGGUAGCUCGGAAAGCGAUUCUGGACUUUCUUAGUAUUAAGAAUAUCCCUCUCAUCUUGAGAUACAUUUCUAAGUCCUCCCUGAAGAACCACAGCCUCUGCAGCAGAGCUGCCACCCAGUUUAUUGUCCAGUCCUGUUGGUUUUCAUUCAGAGCACCUGAUGGAUCACUGUUACCAUUUGUAAACGAAGAUUAAAUCUAGCUUUCCCACACUUCCCAUGUUGAAGAAGAAGACGGACUGCUGCAACAAAAAGAAUAACACCUGUACUGAGCCAUCCCAGUGGGACUGCUGGAUUCCAUGGUGUGAGAAAACAAGAAGAGCAAGCAUGGUGCACCCAGAUCAUGGGAACAGAAGUGGGCUAUUCAUCCAGAUCAAAGAUAAAGUAUGACAUCCUCUUCCAAGAGCACAUCUGGUGACAGUAGCCUUGAUUCAAACAGGACCAUGGGCAGAGAGAGGAGAAUGAUACAUGGGAACCACAGGAGAGACUCAUGGCAGCAAGGACUAAAGCUUUAUUGCCAGGCAUACCCUGAGCUGUCAAGUUGCAGCCUGGAAUGUUUACAGCUAUGUUUUAACCUCCUGACAAUGAGACUCUGCAAUGGAAAGGCUGCCAGACCUUCAAAUAUAGUGAUGGCACUCUAAUAUUUAUAAGUACCUUAUACUCUUUCUAAACACAUGUGCUCAUUACUUAUGUCUCUGCUUCUGCCUCACUUCUGGAGAAAACUUUCUGUAUAAACAAAACAGAUUGGUC
Molecule: long non-coding RNA, 830 nt
Filed under: Mus spicilegus (steppe mouse)
Lineage: Eukaryota; Metazoa; Chordata; Mammalia; Rodentia; Muridae
Description: lncRNA (ENSMSIG00000020922.1)
Source: RNAcentral